Molecule: ribosomal RNA, 448 nt
Filed under: uncultured bacterium
Lineage: Bacteria
Description: bacterial SSU rRNA
Rfam family: Bacterial small subunit ribosomal RNA
Source: RNAcentral
UGGGGAAUAUUGCACAAUGGGCGAAAGCCUGAUGCAGCAACGCCGCGUGCGGGAAGAAGGCCCUAGGGUUGUAAACCGCUUUCAGCAGGGAAGAAAAUGACGGUACCUGCAGAAGAAGGUGCGGCCAACUACGUGCCAGCAGCCGCGGUGACACGUAGGCACCAAGCGUUGUCCGGAUUUAUUGGGCGUAAAGAGCUCGUAGGCGGUUCAGUAAGUCGGGUGUGAAAACUCUGGGCUCAACCCAGAGACGCCACCCGAUACUGCUGUGACUUGAGUACGGUAGGGGAGUGGGGAAUUCCUGGUGUAGCGGUGAAAUGCGCAGAUAUCAGGAGGAACACCAGUGGCGAAGGCGCCACUCUGGGCCGUAACUGACGCUGAGGAGCGAAAGCGUGGGGAGCAAACAGGAUUAGAUACCCCUGUAGUCCCUGAGCGGGCUGGCAAGGCGCAU